RNAcentral lists this ribosomal RNA (497 nucleotides) under uncultured bacterium. RNAcentral's name for it is "partial 16S ribosomal RNA". It matches the Rfam family "Bacterial small subunit ribosomal RNA", at positions 28 to 507 of the family's 1533-position model. The record is from RNAcentral.
GAUGAACGCUGGCGGCGUGCCUAAUACAUGCGAGUCGAGCGAACAGACGAGGAGCUUGCUCCUCCGACGUUAGCGGCGGACGGGUGAGUAACACGAGGAUAACCUACCUAUAAGACUGGGAUAACUUCGGGAAACCGGAUCUAAUACCGGAUAAUAUAUUGAACCGCAGGGUUCAAUAGUGAAAGACGGUUGUGCUUGCACUUAUAGAUGGUCCUCGGCCGCAUUAGCUAGUUGGUAAGGUAACGGCUUACCAAGGCAACGAUGCGUAGCCGACCUGAGAGGGUGAUCGGCCACCCUGGAGCUGAGCCGCGGUCCUGACUCCUGCGGGAGGCAGCAGUCGGGAAUCUUCCGCAGUGGGCGAAAGCUUGGCGCAGCAGCGCGGCGUGAGUGAUGAAGGUCUUCGGAUCGUGAAACUCUGUUACUAGGGAAGAACAAAUUUGUAAGUAGCUAUGCACGUCUUGACGGUACCUGAUCAGAAAGCCCCGGCUAACUACGUG